This 253-nucleotide ribosomal RNA is filed under the name uncultured bacterium. RNAcentral describes it as "partial 16S ribosomal RNA". It matches the Rfam family "Bacterial small subunit ribosomal RNA", at positions 524 to 776 of the family's 1533-position model. The record is from RNAcentral.
GACGUAGGGCGCGAGCGUUGUCCGGAUUUAUUGGGCGUAAAGAGCUCGUAGGCGGCUUGUCGCGUCGGCUGUGAAAACCCGCGGCUCAACUGUGGGCGGGCAGCUGAUACGGGCAGGCUGGAGUUCGGUAGGGGAGACUGGAAUUCCUGGUGUAGCGGUGAAAUGCGCAGAUAUCAGGAGGAACACCGGUGGCGAAGGCGGGUCUCUGGGCCGAUACUGACACUGAGGCGCGAAAGCGUGGGGAGCGAACAGG